CCGCACUCGCGCCCCCACCCACCCACUCUCCUCUCUUCCCCGAUCCCCUCCCACUCGAGCCGGAGCCCCUCCCUCCUCUUCGUGCCGCCGGCCGUCGUGGCGACGCAGAGCAAGGCGCCGAGCCGCGGGAGGUCGCCGUGCACGUGGAGCACCCAGAGAAAAAGCGGGCAGCGAGAGAAGAAAGACCUAGCCCGCGUCUCCUCGUCCCCUCUUGCCGCCUCCGGCUCCUCUCCUCUCCCCCGGUUCACCUUGAUGCGCCUGGCCGCGGUGAUGGUGGCGUGACGGAGCUCGCGCGAGGGCUUCGAAUUUGAGGUGCCAGCCAUCUCCUGUAACGUACGCCGCUCGUGCUCGCGUGAACUGAGGGGUCCUCUUCUGCUGCUGCUCCGUCUGCAUCCUCCUCUGCCUCUUCUUCUCGUCAGUUGACGGCCACGACUUUGGCCAUGGAUCCCAGCAGCUUCAAAAACGGAGGGCAUUUUCUAUAUUGUUCAGCUGCAGCUUAGGAUGCCAUGAGUUGAUAGCUAAGCCUUCUGCUUCCAACCAUUGAGAGGCGUUGCACUUCGCCUCCAUCUGUCAUUGUGAUCGGUGGCGGAAUCUCAGGGAUUGCUGCGGCUCAUGUCCUCUCCAAUUCCUCUUUUCAGGUACUGACAAAAUCCUGAUCUGUCUGCUGUUCCUCUAAUUAGAUGAUGCCCAUGCUGCCUGAGCAGGUGACUGUCCUUGAGUCGAGAGAUCGAAUUGGUGACCAUGUUCAUACGGAUUACUACUUUGGAUGCCCCAUCUACAUGGGAGCCUCAUGGUUGCACGGUGUCAGUAAUGAGAUUUCUUUAGCACCAUUGAUUGGCCAGCUAAAAAAGUACUACUGGCUAAGGAGAGCAGCUUGUCUGAAUUUCGAGCAGUUGGUGGUCAGGUUGAACUCUGAAUGAAGGGUGGCAACCUACUGAUUGGAACUAUUUUGCGGUCACUGGAAAUUGAAGAUUAGUAUUUUUACCCAGGGAGUCGUGUACCAAGGUACUUGGCAAGGUCCUUCAUCAACAGUAUGCAAACCAAAGAAAUCCCCGCUCCUGCUCGAAAGAAUAGUUCACAAACUAAAGGCGCCCCACUAAAGAAAAGUUACAGCGAGGAAAGGUUUUUGAAGCAUCAGAUGAUUUUGACGAAUUUGGAACACCUAUGCUAAAAGAGAGGAGUAUAUCAGAUUAUUUUAGUUCCCAAGAUGUUUUACCUAUUGGCCUCCCUUCCUUGCAAACCCUGCAUUUAGUCGAAUUCCUGGUUUGCUACCAGACAGUGAAAUUAAAAUGAUUGGAUUCACUUCCGAAGGAAGUGGUACUUCCGAUAGUUUUGUGAAAGCUCGGAUUGUUAUAUAUGAUCAGCAGUCUCUCCAGUACAACAACUUGGACACCGGGGUAAAUAUCUCAAUAUCUAAAAAUUAUUCAGUACUUAA
This is an RNA transcript of Triticum dicoccoides, 1435 nucleotides long. It is a transcript of the gene named polyamine oxidase 4-like, with no coding region annotated. Lineage: Eukaryota; Viridiplantae; Streptophyta; Magnoliopsida; Poales; Poaceae. The record is from RefSeq and is a predicted model, not a curated record. The transcript is spliced from 5 exons.